GAUACAUGCAUAUCUAGACAAAAUUGCGAUACUUAAUACGGGAUGGAGGGAGUCCUACCUUAUUGAUAAUUAGUUACUUACCCAUGUCCUGCUCUCAUAGUGAGCAUAGGGAAAUCCUGAGGUAUCUCCGUAUCCGGACUUAUAUAAAAAAAAGGAUAAAAAAAAACAUACUCGUAGCGUACACAUCUAUAUUAAAAUGUAAGACAUAGGAAGACGAGUAUAAAAAGCAGACUAUUACGAGAGGCGUGUGUCUCCACCAACAAACACACACAAAACUAACAACUCAAUAACAAGGAAAACACCGUUGCCUAGUGAAUUUACGAGCCGCAAUAGCCACACGUCUCUAAAGACGUGAUUGAAGACUUCGUUGGAAAACAUGACUAGGGGCACACUCAGUGCUUUUCUAUUGCCAAAUCUGAAGCUACCAAUGACCAUGUCGAGCAAGACACGCAGAUCUAGUCAUCACAUGCCUGAAGAUACCACAACUACCUCUCUCGAACUUAACUCAAUGACCAUUGCCACAAUUGCAUGGAGCUGAAGCGUCGGAUAGCCACUGACUCUUGAACAAUCCACCUGGUCCAAAAAGAAAUGGUCGACUAAACCCUCCACGUGCCCCCUAUGGAACCAAGGCCAUCACCAUCGGAGCGGAGAGGACGUAUUCCGACGUGAGAAUGCCGCCAAGAAAGCCUAAGCAACACAGUCCUUUUCCCGCCCGCCAACAUCGAGCCAAAAUCUAAUCAUCUUGAAGGUCCACGAUAGCAUCCGGAACCGACCACCUCGACAAAAUCCCCGUAGGCUAGGGUUUUGAGAAAACUCGUUACUUUGCCGGCCAGCUGCAAUCAGCAUUAUUGUGAAAAAAAAUCAUCAUUGUUAUUUUUUUUGCAGCCAAGUAUUUCAUUAAUAGAAAAUCAAGUUACAUGAACAAACAACCGUGGAAACGAAAAGACAGACCAGGAGAAAAACAGUUGUUCUGGAAAAUUUCUAGAAAGAAUCCAACGGCUAGAAAAGUACUAAACGAUCACUCAGUGUUCCUACACUCGCCAAAGCUAGCGGCCACCGCUAACCUCCAACUCUGCCUGGACGCCGGAAGAGAUACCAAGUCUCCACCAUUGCAGGGUCCAAAGAAGCAUCUCACCAACGAGGUUGUGUGAGUCGAUGAACAGGCCCAGUGCAAGCGCCGAAGUCAGGGAAUAACGAUAGAUCCACCACCUCCGAACCAACAUCCUCGCUCCAGAGCAACCACCUCGCCUCGGCCCCUACCGCCACCGUGGAUAAUGAUGAAUGCUAGUGACACACCGUGAAACGGAUCUCACACAAUCUGAAGAACGGCGAGAAGACCAACCUACUAAUCUGAACGACCGACAAGUACAUAUUCAACUCCUAGGCGCUGUCGUGAAGACCGCCGUCGGUGUGGGAGUAGAAUUGAGACAAAUUUAUUCGCUCGGACAUCGGCACCAUAGCAGACACACCCUCUCUCUUGCUGCCGGAGCGACAAGCGCAGUGAGAAGGGACCAAUGCC
RNAcentral lists this long non-coding RNA (1519 nucleotides) under Brachypodium distachyon (stiff brome). RNAcentral describes it as "long non-coding RNA (BDIS_LNC002542)". Lineage: Eukaryota; Viridiplantae; Streptophyta; Magnoliopsida; Poales; Poaceae. The record is from RNAcentral.